GUGGGGAAUUUUUGGCAAUGGGGGAAACCCUGACCAAGCAACGCCGCGUGGAUGAUGAAGUCUCUUGGGACGUAAAAUCCUUUCGACGGGGACGAAAGCCGCAAGGUUUGACGGUACCCGUAGAAGAAGCCCCGGCUAACUCCGUGCCAGCAGCCGCGGUAAUACGGGGGGGGCAAGCGUUGUUCGGAAUUACUGGGCGUAAAGGGCGCGUAGGCGGUUUGUUAAGUUGGUUGUGAAAACUCUGGGCUUAACCCAGAGCCUGCAUCCAAAACUAGCAAGCUAGAGUUCUGGAGGGGAUAGCGGAAUUCCUGGUGUAGCGGUGAAAUGCGUAGAUAUCAGGAGGAACACCGGUGGCGAAGGCGGCUAUCUGGACAGAAACUGACGCUGAGGCGCGAAAGCUAGGGGAGCAAACAGGAUUAGAUACCCGGGUAGUCC
RNAcentral lists this ribosomal RNA (435 nucleotides) under uncultured bacterium. RNAcentral's name for it is "bacterial SSU rRNA". It matches the Rfam family "Bacterial small subunit ribosomal RNA", at positions 354 to 796 of the family's 1533-position model. The record is from RNAcentral.